This 497-nucleotide ribosomal RNA is filed under the name uncultured bacterium. RNAcentral's name for it is "partial 16S ribosomal RNA". It matches the Rfam family "Bacterial small subunit ribosomal RNA", at positions 28 to 507 of the family's 1533-position model. The record is from RNAcentral.
GAUGAACGCUGGCGGCGUGCCUAAUACAUGCAAGUCGAGCGAACAGACGAGGAGCUUGCUCCUCUGACGUUAGCGGCGGACGGGUGAGUAACACGUGGAUAACCUACCUUUAAGACUGGGAUAACUUCGGGAAACCGGAGCUAAUACCGGAUAAUAUAUUGAACCGCAUGGUUCAAUAGUGAAAGACGGUUUUGCUGUCACUUAUAGCUGGAUCCGCGCCGCAUUAGCUAGUUGGUAAGGUAACGGCUUACCAAGGCGACGAUGCGUAGCCGACCUGAGAGGGUGGUCGGCCACACUGGAACUGAGACACGGUCCAGACUCCUACGGGAGGCAGCAGUAGGGAAUCGUCCGCAAUGGGCGAAAGCCUGACGGAGCAACGCCGCGUGAGUGAUGAAGGUCUUCGGAUCGUAAAACUCUGUUAUUAGGGAAGAACAAAUGUGUAAGUAACUAUGCACGUCUUGACGGUACCUAAUCAGAAAGCCACGGCUAACUACGUG